RNAcentral lists this ribosomal RNA (760 nucleotides) under uncultured bacterium. RNAcentral describes it as "bacterial SSU rRNA". It matches the Rfam family "Bacterial small subunit ribosomal RNA", at positions 8 to 760 of the family's 1533-position model. The record is from RNAcentral.
AGAGUUUGAUCCUGGCUCAGGAUGAACGCUGGCGGCAUGCCUAAUACAUGCAAGUCGAACGAGGAUCCUUCGGGAUCCUAGUGGCGAACGGGUGAGUAACACGUAGGGAACCUGCCCGCGCACCGGGAAUACGCUCUGGAAACGGAGAACAAAUCCCGAUGUACAGGAAGGAGGCAUCUUCUUUCUGUGAAACAUCCUGUAAGGGAUGGGGCGCGGAUGGACCUGCGGUGCAUUAGUUAGUUGGCGAGGGUAAAGGCCCACCAAGACGAUGAUGCAUAGCCGGCCUGAGAGGGCGGACGGCCACAUUGGGACUGAGACACGGCCCAGACUCCUGCGGGAGGCAGCAGUAGGGAAUUUUCGUCAAUGGGCGCAAGCCUGAACGAGCGAUGCCGCGUGAGUGAAGAAGGCCUUCGGGUCGUAAAGCUCUGUUGCGGGGGAAAAAAGGCAUCUGCAGGAAAUGGUAGAUGACAGAUGGUGCCCCGCCAGAAAGUCACGGCUAGCUACGUGCCAGCAGCCGCGGUAAUACGUAGGUGGCGAGCGUUAUCCGGAAUGAUUGGGCGUAAAGGGUGCGCAGGCGGUCCUGCAAGUCUAGAGUGAAACGUAUGAGCUCAACUCAUGCAUGGCUCUGGAAACUGGAGGACUGGAGAGCAGGAGAGGGCGGUGGAACUCCAUGUGUAGCGGUAAAAUGCGUAGAUAUAUGGAAGAACACCAGUGGCGAAGGCGGCCGCCUGGCCUGUUGCUGACGCUGAAGCACGAAAGC